This 495-nucleotide ribosomal RNA is filed under the name uncultured bacterium. RNAcentral describes it as "bacterial SSU rRNA". It matches the Rfam family "Bacterial small subunit ribosomal RNA", at positions 28 to 518 of the family's 1533-position model. The record is from RNAcentral.
GAUGAACGCUAGCGGCAGGCUUAAUACAUGCAAGUCGAGGGGCAGCGCAGUGUAGCAAUACAUGGGCGGCGACCGGCAAACGGGUGCGGAACACGUACAGAACCUUCCUUCGAGCGGGGAAUAGCCCAGAGAAAUUUGGAUUAAUACCCCAUAGUAUAUUAGAGUGGCAUCACUUUAAUAUUAAAGAUUUAUCACUUGAAGAUGGCUGUGCGGCUGAUUAGGAGUUGGCGGGGUAACGGCCCACCAAGCCAGCGAUCAGUAACUGGUGUGAGAGCACGACCAGUCACACGGGCACUGAGACACGGGCCCGACUCCUACGGGAGGCAGCAGUAAGGAAUAUUGGUCAAUGGACGCAAGUCUGAACCAGCCAUGCCGCGUGGAGGAUGAAGGUCCUCUGGAUUGUAAACUUCUUUUAUAUGGGACGAAAAAGGCUUUUCUAAGUCGUCUGACGGUACCAUAUGAAUAAGCACCGGCUAACUCCGUGCCAGCCGCCGC